This 385-nucleotide ribosomal RNA is filed under the name Bradyrhizobium sp. RNAcentral's name for it is "bacterial SSU rRNA". It matches the Rfam family "Bacterial small subunit ribosomal RNA", at positions 973 to 1355 of the family's 1533-position model. Lineage: Bacteria; Pseudomonadati; Pseudomonadota; Alphaproteobacteria; Hyphomicrobiales; Nitrobacteraceae. The record is from RNAcentral.
ACCAGCCCUUGACAUCCCGGUCGCGGACUCCAGAGACGGAGUUCUUCAGUUCGGCUGGACCGGAGACAGGUGCUGCAUGGCUGUCGUCAGCUCGUGUCGUGAGAUGUUGGGUUAAGUCCCGCAACGAGCGCAACCCCCGUCCUUAGUUGCUACCAUUUAGUUGAGCACUCUAAGGAGACUGCCGGUGAUAAGCCGCGAGGAAGGUGGGGAUGACGUCAAGUCCUCAUGGCCCUUACGGGCUGGGCUACACACGUGCUACAAUGGCGGUGACAAUGGGAUGCUAAGGGGCGACCCUUCGCAAAUCUCAAAAAGCCGUCUCAGUUCGGAUUGGGCUCUGCAACUCGAGCCCAUGAAGUUGGAAUCGCUAGUAAUCGUGGAUCAGCAC